This 253-nucleotide ribosomal RNA is filed under the name uncultured bacterium. RNAcentral's name for it is "partial 16S ribosomal RNA". It matches the Rfam family "Bacterial small subunit ribosomal RNA", at positions 524 to 776 of the family's 1533-position model. The record is from RNAcentral.
UACGUAGGGUCCGAGCGUUGUCCGGAAUUACUGGGCGUAAAGAGCUCGUAGGUGGUUUGUCGCGUUGUUCGUGAAAACUCACAGCUCAACUGUGGGCGUGCGGGCGAUACGGGCAGACUUGAGUACUGCAGGGGAGACUGGAAUUCCUGGUGUAGCGGUGGAAUGCGCAGAUAUCAGGAGGAACACCGGUGGCGAAGGCGGGUCUCUGGGCAGUAACUGACGCUGAGGUGCGAAAGCGUGGGGAGCAAACAGG